GUGCCAGCCGCCGCGGUAAUACGUAGGUGGCAAGCGUUGUCCGGAUUUACUGGGCGUAAAGCGCGCGUAGGUGGUUCGGAAAGUCCGGGGUGAAAUCUUGCGGCUCAACUGCAAGCGGUCCCUGGAUACUUCCGGGCUUGAGGUGGGCAGAGGAAGGUGGAAUUCCCGGUGUAGUGGUGAAAUGCGUAGAUAUCGGGAGGAACACCAGUGGCGAAGGCGGCCUUCUGGGCCUUACCUGACGCUGAGGCGCGAAAGCGUGGGGAGCAAACCGGAUUAGAUACCCGUGUAGUCC
This 292-nucleotide ribosomal RNA is filed under the name uncultured bacterium. RNAcentral's name for it is "partial 16S ribosomal RNA". It matches the Rfam family "Bacterial small subunit ribosomal RNA", at positions 505 to 796 of the family's 1533-position model. The record is from RNAcentral.